Molecule: ribosomal RNA, 497 nt
Filed under: uncultured bacterium
Lineage: Bacteria
Description: partial 16S ribosomal RNA
Rfam family: Bacterial small subunit ribosomal RNA
Source: RNAcentral
GAUGAACGCUGGCGGCGUGCCUAAUACAUGCAAGUCGAGCGAACAGACGAGGAGCUUGCUCCUCUGAUGUUAGCGGCGGACGGGUGAGUAACACGUGGAUAACCUACCUAUAAGACUGGGAUAACUUCGGGAAACCGGAGCUAAUACCGGAUAAUAUAUUGAACCGCAUGGUUCAAUAGUGAAAGACGGUCUUGCUGUCACUUAUAGAUGGAUCCGCGCUGCAUUAGCUAGUUGGUAAGGUAACGGCUUACCAAGGCAACGAUGCAUAGCCGACCUGAGAGGGUGAUCGGCCACACUGGAACUGAGACACGGUCCAGACUCCUACGGGAGGCAGCAGUAGGGAAUCUUCCGCAAUGGGCGAAAGCCUGACGGAGCAACGCCGCGUGAGUGAUGAAGGUCUUCGGAUCGUAAAACUCUGUUAUUAGGGAAGAACAUAUGUGUAAGUAACUAUGCACAUCUUGACGGUACCUAAUCAGAAAGCCACGGCUAACUACGUG